AUUGUGUUCCAAUCAGAGCCUGCGACGAUCCCUACGUAGCGGUGGGAGGCGGGGCUUACGCAGAAGGCUCUCCGGCGCUGCGAGUCUGCGCGCAUGUUCUGCAGCGUUUAGUUUUCUUCGCCUUUUCUGCUCGAAAUGGCAUCAGCGGAGGAUGUCGGAGCGAAAAAGCAAAUGUUUUAUGAAAUCGAGUGCGUAAUAGAAGAUUGCGAUACUGAAGUUGGAUACAAACCUCUGUCAGACAGCGACGAGCUCGACGAUUCGGCGGCGGAGGAGGAACCGCGAGAAGAAGAUAUUGAUUCUUCUGAAGAAUGGGAGCCUCGCAGGCGCUCAAAACUAAAGAGGAACUCAUCCUCCUCGCCUUCAUCGUCUUUACCACGCCGGAGAGGGCGGCCACCUAAAAAUGCUUUGAAACCCUCCCCAGCAGCACCAGCGAUGGCCCGCACGCCUAAAAACACCCCAGCCGUCUCCUUACCUCGACAGGGAGGCAGACCGUCUAAGGACAAAUCAAAAGCCAAACUCUUUCCUAAACCCACCCCAUAUGCCACAAUCGUGCCUAAACCCCCCCCUUAUGCCACGCUGAUCCCUAAUUCCUCCAUUAAAUUCGGCCCUCAUUCCACAUCUACCAUUACGCUUAACCCUAAUUUCACUCCUAUAACCCUUACCAAUGCCUCAUCCUCCAUUAAACUGAACCCUAAUUCUGCACCCAUACUCAUCUCUAAUCCCGCUUCCACUUUUAAACUUAGCCCGAAUUCCACACCCGCCUCCAAUCAGGCACCGAUAGCCACACUCAUCUGUACACCCACAUCAACGGGGCUUCUGUUAGAUGGCAACACCAAUGAGAUCAAGUCAGUGAAGGAAGAGGAACCAAAUAAGAAUGUGGAUGCUAUUGAAGAAUGGCCUUUUACAAGGGAAGAAAGUCAAGAGGAUUCAGAAUCAUCAAAUGCAAAGAGGCAACGACUCUAACUCCCGAUCCCUCAAUCCACAACACCUCUACGGACAGACGGGCCCUUGAAGCACACCUCAAAAACUACCCAUAGUCCCCUGCCUGAACUUGCACCCAUAGCCACUUCUGAUCAUGUACCCACCUCUCAACCCACAACCACUGAUGAACCACUGACCUCAGUACCCACCACUGAACCCACAUCUGAUCCCAAACCUAAUCCUGCACCCACCAGGCCUCGGGCUGACAGCGACCUUGAUGGCGACAGCAAUGAGAUCAGUGAUUCGGGGAGGGAAGAGGAACUGUGGGAAGAAGAUCUUGAUUCUGGUGAUGACUGGAACCCUCUUCUGGAAAGUCCGGAUCGUUCAAAAUCACCUGCAUCAGCUCAGUCACCAAGAGGAGGCAACCCCCCUACAACCACAUCAUCAGGACCGAUAGACAAACUCUCUCUAUCCACGUCUGAACCUGCUCCUGAAGCCACUCCUACACCCACAUCUGAAGCCAUUCCCACAACCAACCACAAUUCCACUCCCACACCUACCCCUAAUCGAGCACCCACUUUACCACGCCGAAGAGGCCGGCCAUGAAAGCAUGCUUUAAAACUCAACCUCUCACCUAAACCAACUCCUGAUCGCUCUACAGCUAUCACUAAUUCGUUACCAGCAGCUGAUUCCACUCCUGUAAUCAUCUCUGAUCCCUCCGCUGAUGCCAUCCCUGCGUCAAGUUUAGAUCCCGCUCCCAAUCCCGCCAUCUCCACCAAUUCUGAACACAAUCCCGAACCUACUUCCACUUCUGAAGCUAUGCCGCAACCCACUUUGACCGAAGAGAAUCGAAGCUCGUUGCAACUACUUAUUCACCAAGGCAAGCCAGAAGCAGGUUGUCUUCAGCUUUGGAUUCACCUUGGAUGAAAAUUGAGUGUAAGCCAGAUAAGUGGCUUGACAUCAGCAAUGAGGAUGAGGAACCGGUACUACCGAAUUUCUCUCCCAAGAGACCUCCAGGUCUGCAUCUCACAGCGGACGCAAUGUAUACGCCCUUACAGUUGUUCCAACUCUUUUUCACCAACUCUGCAGUCAAGACAAUAGUCCGAAACACUAAUAGCAAUGCCGAAAAGAGGGUGAAAGCUGGAAAGAAGUUCGUCUGGGUACCUCUAACCGUAGCCGAGUUCUACUCGUAUGUGACGUUAGUUGUCUACAUGGGGCUGGUGAAGGCGAAGUCAAUAGCGGACUACUGGGCAAGAAAACAAAUGUACAAUUCUCGUACCCGCAGUCCAUCAUUUCCCAAGCAAGAUUUCAGGCCAUCUCCUGGAAUCUUUACCUCUGUGAUCUUCAGGAGGACGAGGAGAACAACAAGAAGAAAGGCACCGCAAGUUAUGACCGACUGCUCAAAAUCAAGCCUCUGUACACGGAUGUUCUUUCGGCGUGUAGGAAACACUUUCACCCCAACAGAGAGAUUCUGGUGGAUGAGAGAAUGGUCACUACCAAAGCUAGGAUUAGACUUAAGCGAUAUAUGAAUGACAAACAAACUAAAUGUGGCUACAAACUUCGUUCUUGCCGAUUCGUCCUGCGGGUACACCUGGAAUUUCUUUGUAUACGAAGGAAAGACUUCAACGUCGUCAGGUAAAGGUGCCGGGUACGAUUAGGUAAUGAGACUACUGGAUCACAAGGUCCUCGGCAAGGGUUAUAGGUUAUACAUGGACAAUUUCUACACCAGCCCAACUCUUUUCUUGGAUUUGUUGCAGAACAGCAUCCUCGCUUGUGGCACAUUGCGCCAUACUUCCAGUUUACCGAAGGCCAACGACCUGAGUGGAAGAUCUGAGUUAGGAUCCAUCCGUUGGUAUCGGCAAGGUCCUCUUCUGUUCGUCAAAUGGAUGGACGCGAGAGAAGUCCUCAUGUGUUCCUCAGUUCACAAGGCGUUUACUGGGGAUACGGUCACCAGGAAUGCCAAGGGUUCCGAUGGGGUUUGGAGAACAUGUCUAAUUCCUGUUCCAUCUGCUGUGAAGGACUAUAGCAAAUACAUGGGAGGUGUUGAUUUCUCGGAUUCCCUCACAAAGUAUUAUAAUGUCCUCCACAAAACCACAAAAUGGUACAAGACCUUCUUCUUCCAUUUUCUUGACAUCGCAGUGGUCAAUCCUUCACCAAGAAUUGGCGAAAGCUCAGAACAAGGUCCCACUCAGCCAAAAAUUGUUUAGGGAAACCCUUGUUUCAGAACUUGCACGUGCCGGCAGAGGUAAGAAUCCUUCUUCGUCUGCUGCCAAAGAUCCCUCAACAUCCGCCACGCCGGUCUCCAUAAGUAUGUCAGCACAGGUGCCUUCAACCCCUAAUGAAACGAAUGCAUAUUCGCCGUCCGACACGGAGUCGUCUCCCCCAGCCUCGCCCGCCCAGACGGAGCAAUGCUAUCCUGAGUAUUUCAGUUCUGAUGCUACGCAUGGGAGGCGAGUUUGUGUCAUGUGCAAACUGCAGGGAAGUAAAGUCAAGACUCCCAUAUACUGCUCCCACUUCAAGGUGGCAUUGUGCUUUGUGUCGUCACGUAACUGCUUCAAGAAAUGGCACAUAGAUUAUCACCUGGAAGAUUUGUAGAUACGUUGCAUGUUUGGAUUUUUUGGGGGCCUUUUAUUUUUUGUAUGAACUUGUUAAUUGUAUAGUUAUGACUCUAUUAAAUACAACUACAAUUGAUAUAGUCUCUUGUUUUCUGUUUGCAACUUUGCGUACAUUUUUAUCAGGUGCUUUUUCUACCAAAAGGGCACUGCUGAAAUCCAGUAUUCAUCAUCAAAAGAAAUGUUUACUUGAAGUGUGUUUUCUUUGUAUGUUAAAAUACAUAGUGGUAUCCCAGUCCAAACUGAUCUACUGUAAGCAUGAUGUUUCCCCCGUAAAGUGUAACAUGGUGGUGUUAUCAAAUAAUUGAUCAAUUUGAGGUUGAGAACAAUCAUUCUUUUUGCAAUUGUGUUUGGUGGCAUUAGUGGCACAAAAAUUACAGUAUUCUAACUGUAGGUUAGACUUAAUUGUAGCUAAAGCACACAUGAUGACAGAAUACAUUGUAUUAU
This is an RNA transcript of Sinocyclocheilus grahami, 3980 nucleotides long. It is a transcript of the gene named histone H3.v1-like, with no coding region annotated. NCBI's taxonomy places the organism in Eukaryota, Metazoa, Chordata, Actinopteri, Cypriniformes, Cyprinidae. The record is from RefSeq and is a predicted model, not a curated record. The transcript is spliced from 4 exons.